CGGUUGAUCCUGCCGGAGGCACUGCUAUGGGGGUCCGACUAAGCCAUGCGAGUCAUGGGGCGCCUUGCGCGCACCGGCGGACGGCUCAGUAACACGUCGGUAACCUACCCUCGGGAGGGGGAUAACCCCGGGAAACUGGGGCUAAUCCCCCAUAGGCCUGAGGUACUGGAAGGUCCUCAGGCCGAAAGGGGCUCUGCCCGCCCGAGGAUGGGCCGGCGGCCGAUUAGGUAGUUGGUGGGGUAACGGCCCACCAAGCCGAAGAUCGGUACGGGCCAUGAGAGUGGGAGCCCGGAGAUGGACACUGAGACACGGGUCCAGGCCCUACGGGGCGCAGCAGGCGCGAAACCUCCGCAAUGCGGGAAACCGCGACGGGGGGACCCCCAGUGCCGUGGCAACGCCACGGCUUUUCCGGAGUGUAAAAAGCUCCGGGAAUAAGGGCUGGGCAAGGCCGGUGGCAGCCGCCGCGGUAAUACCGGCGGCCCGAGUGGUGGCCGCUAUUAUUGGGCCUAAAGCGUCCGUAGCCGGGCCUGUAAGUCCCUGGCGAAAUCCCACAGCUCAACCGUGGGGCUUGCUGGGGAUACUGCAGGCCUUGGGACCGGG
Molecule: ribosomal RNA, 600 nt
Filed under: uncultured archaeon
Lineage: Archaea
Description: bacterial SSU rRNA
Rfam family: Archaeal small subunit ribosomal RNA
Source: RNAcentral